RNAcentral lists this ribosomal RNA (435 nucleotides) under uncultured bacterium. Its description in RNAcentral is "bacterial SSU rRNA". It matches the Rfam family "Bacterial small subunit ribosomal RNA", at positions 346 to 793 of the family's 1533-position model. The record is from RNAcentral.
AGGCAGCAGUGGGGAAUAUUGCACAAUGGGCGCAAGCCUGAUGCAGCAACGCCGCGUGGGGGAUGAAGGCCUUCGGGUUGUAAACCCCUUUUAGCAGGGAAGAAGCGAAAGUGACGGUACCUGCAGAAAAAGCGCCGGCUAACUACGUGCCAGCAGCCGCGGUAAUACGUAGGGCGCAAGCGUUGUCCGGAAUUAUUGGGCGUAAAGAGCUCGUAGGCGGUUUGUCGCGUCUGCUGUGAAAGUCCGAGGCUCAACCUCGGAUCUGCAGUGGGUACGGGCAGACUAGAGUGUGGUAGGGGAGACUGGAAUUCCUGGUGUAGCGGUGGAAUGCGCAGAUAUCAGGAGGAACACCAAUGGCGAAGGCAGGUCUCUGGGCCAUAACUGACGCUGAGGAGCGAAAGCGUGGGGAGCGAACAGGAUUAGAUACCCUGGUAG